This 458-nucleotide ribosomal RNA is filed under the name uncultured bacterium. Its description in RNAcentral is "partial 16S ribosomal RNA". It matches the Rfam family "Bacterial small subunit ribosomal RNA", at positions 338 to 795 of the family's 1533-position model. The record is from RNAcentral.
CCUACGGGAGACAGCAGUGGGGAAUAUUGCACAAUGGGGGAAACCCUGAUGCAGCGACGCCGCGUGAGUGAAGAAGUAUUUCGGUAUGUAAAGCUCUAUCAGCAGGGAAGAAAUAGCGACCUUUGGGUCGCCAGACGGUACCUGACUAAGAAGCCCCGGCUAACUACGUGCCAGCAGCCGCGGUAAUACGUAGGGGGCAAGCGUUAUCCGGAUUUACUGGGUGUAAAGGGAGCGUAGACGGCAGCACAAGUCUGAAGUGAAAUCCCGGGGCUUAACCCCGGAACUGCUUUGGAAACUGUGCAGCUAGAGUGCAGGAGAGGUAAGUGGAAUGCCUAGUGGAGCGGUGAAAUGCGUAGAUAUUAGGAGGAACACCAGUGGCGAAGGCGGCUUACUGGACUGUAACUGACGUUGAGGCUCGAAAGCGUGGGGAGCAAACAGGAUUAGAUACCCCGGUAGUC